This 74-nucleotide transfer RNA is filed under the name Treponema sp. RNAcentral describes it as "tRNA-Pro". The record is from RNAcentral. RNAcentral also lists the same sequence under 1 other name. Lineage: Bacteria; Pseudomonadati; Spirochaetota; Spirochaetia; Treponematales; Treponemataceae.
CGGGCUAUAGCGCAGCUGGUUAGCGUACUUGUCUGGGGGGCAAGGGGUCACCGAUUCAAAUUCGGUUAGCCCGA